Molecule: long non-coding RNA, 2021 nt
Organism: Chelonia mydas (Green sea turtle)
Lineage: Eukaryota; Metazoa; Chordata; Testudines; Cheloniidae
Exons: 4
Source: RefSeq, a predicted model, not a curated record
GUUUACCUCAUCCCAGCAGGCUUUGCUGCUAUCCCUUAGUCAUGUGAUCUGGAGGGAAUGGGGGAAAUCAGCACAGGUCUAAGCUGGGAAUUGAACCUCCUAAAGCUACAGCUUACCCUCUGACAGGGUGUUCAUUUUUAAGCCCUGUACUGGGAGGUCCUUCUCGAGUGCAGCCAGAAAGAAGUUUUAUGAGCUGCAGGCCUGCAUGCUUGAUGCCUUGCCUAUGCAAAACGAGGAUGAAAUUCACAAGGAAAGAGGCCAACUGCAUUUUAUUAACCUAGCUGUUUUCUUCUUGUCAUGGAUGCUGCUGAGGGACACGGACAGAAAUCUCUGCCCUCACAUGGCAGGAUCCUGUUGAGGGGCACUGCAGCCCAUACCCUGCUGACUGGAUCCAGGUGGUGGGACCCACCUAUGCAGGACGUGAGGUGGUACCAUCAGAAGCUGCAUACCAUGGUAUCCAGGCCCUCUUUCACGUCACGAUGCUGGAGGAUGACGUGCUGCUGAUGACGACUUACAGUAUCUGUGGGGAAAAAUACAGCAGACAGAAAAUCAUGUCCCGAGGACUCCCAGAGGAGGAGAAACAGCAGCUGUAGCAGUGUCUCUUCCAUGCCUUCUCAGCCGAAGUCUGCUGGAUGAACUUUGACCCACACCUCUUGGAUCAGCAGGGCUCUGAGUUUUGCCAGGGCAGCUAUUUCUUAGUGGAUGCCACUGAUUCUCACACCUUCACAGCUAGUAGCAAGGGUGGAGCGCGCUACAUGUUCCUGGCUAAUGUCUUGGUGGGUGAGUCAGUGUGUGGGAAGGAACACUACCAUCAGGUAGGCCCCAGAACAGGCUCCUGGCAGGCCACACUAUGACUCAUGCCACAACGGGAAACCCUGUUCGCAACCCAAAAGCCAUCUGAGCAUCUACGUGACCUUCCACAGUAUCAGUGCUAUCCAUAUUUCCUGAUCUACUACAGAAUGCUCUCAGAUCCCGUGAGAUGGCUGACAGCACUGGAGGAGUGACCAUGUCAUACAUAAGAGGAACCCCGUCCAGUUCUUAGCAGCUUUGCUGAUCAGAGGUCCUGCCCCCAGGGAGGGUCUGCUUUCUGUCUUUCCACUCUUCACACCACUGUAAAUACUCCUGACAUCCCACGCAUAUGCACCAAGUGUGUGCGUCCCCUGUUCUGUUGCAUGCAAAAACCAUCCCAGCUCAUUCUCAGAGAGUCCCAUCCUCCACCUCCCUUCUUACUGUUGUUGCUUCCAUUGGCAUCAUGGGUGGACACCUGUAGAAUCCCGCAAGGGUGGGCCCCCAAACCCAGGUAGAUGCUGUUCCCUUAGACAGUCAGAAGGGGGCACUGUUCAGUAAGAAGUGUCAUCCAUUCCUCUUUCCUGAUCUCUCAUGGGUUUUAAGGAACGUGGUGAAAUUUCCAUUUGUGGUCCCAAAUACUACUCUCAUAAAAUAUUAUUCUUCCCUCCUCAUCUCUACAUCCUUUCUCACUCUGCAUAAGAUAUGUUUAUGCAUAGGUCUUUGACAUGGGAUGUUAUUAGAGCUCCUGUUUGUUACAUUGAUUGUUAAGUCAAAUUUUACAGAUCCAUUUACUGCUGUUCUUUGUUGUUACCUCUUUUGCUAUGCUUACUUUGGUUCAAAUUCAUUUGCAAUCAUUGUUAUUGUUCUGAUCCUUGCUCAUCUGGACAAUUUUCUGGCCUUUAAUAUAAUUAUGAAAUGGGCUGAAAGAAUGAGUGUCUUUAUUAUCCAGGACCAGUUAAUUUGAUCCUCCAUUAAAUCUACUCAAAUCCUUGCACACAAAUAAUUUCCAUUAAAAACAACAGCUCACGUGAUUCACUAUCCUGGUGCAAGGGACAUAUUUCCAAUCUCCAAUCUGUGCUAGCCUCCUGAUUCAUCUUCCUGUCUAAAACCGAACCUCACCCCCAUCUUGCUUUCCCUUGUCACAAUGCCACUAGAGACCAUGCCCAAUCCCAGACCUGCAUUGCAUAUGGGCCAAUUUACCUCUAAUCUCCAAACUGCCCCUGCCUGGCCUA